Molecule: ribosomal RNA, 436 nt
Filed under: uncultured Oscillospiraceae bacterium
Lineage: Bacteria; Bacillati; Bacillota; Clostridia; Eubacteriales; Oscillospiraceae
Description: partial 16S ribosomal RNA
Rfam family: Bacterial small subunit ribosomal RNA
Source: RNAcentral
ACGGGAGGCAGCAGUCGGGAAUAUUGCGCAAUGGAGGAAACUCUGACGCAGUGACGCCGCGUGCAGGAAGAAGGUUUUCGGAUUGUAAACUGCUUUAGACAGGGAAGAAGAAGUGACAGUACCUGUAGAAUAAGCUCCGGCUAACUACGUGCCAGCAGCCGCGGUAAUACGUAGGGAGCAAGCGUUAUCCGGAUUUAUUGGGUGUGAAGGGUGCGUAGACGGGAAAUUAAGUUAGUUGUGAAAUCCCUCGGCUUAACCGAGGAACUGCAACUAAAACUGGUUUUCUUGAGUACUGGAGAGGAAAGUGGAAUUCCUAGUGUAGCGGUGAAAUGCGUAGAUAUUAGGAGGAACACCAGUGGCGAAGGCGACUUUCUGGACAGAAACUGACGUUGAGGCACGAAAGUGUGGGGAGCAAACAGGAUUAGAUACCCUGGUA